UAGGGAAUCUUCCACAAUGGACGCAAGUCUGAUGGAGCAACGCCGCGUGAGUGAAGAAGGCUUUCGGGUCGUAAAACUCUGUUAUUGAAGAAGAACGUGUGUGACAGUAACUGGUCAUGCAGUGACGGUAUUCAAUCAGAAAGUCACGGCUAACUACGUGCCAGCAGCCGCGGUAAUACGUAGGUGGCAAGCGUUGUCCGGAUUUAUUGGGCGUAAAGCGAGUGCAGGCGGUCUUUUAAGUCUGAUGUGAAAGCCUUCGGCUUAACCGAAGAAGGGCAUCGGAAACUGGAGACUUGAGUGC
Molecule: ribosomal RNA, 301 nt
Filed under: uncultured bacterium
Lineage: Bacteria
Description: partial 16S ribosomal RNA
Rfam family: Bacterial small subunit ribosomal RNA
Source: RNAcentral